UUUUUUUUUUUUUUUUUUUUUUUUUUUUUGUCUUUUUAGGGCCACACCCACAGCAUAUGGGGAUUCCCAAGCUAACAGUCACAUCAGAGCUAUAGCCGCUGGCCUAUGCCACAGCCACAGCAAUGUCAGGUCUGAGCUGUGUCUGCAACCUAUACCAUAGCUCACGAGCCACAUGGGAUCCUUAACCUGCUGAGUGAGUGAGUCCAGGGGUCAAACCUGCAUCCUCAUGGAUGCUAGUCAGAUUUGUUUCCGCUGAGCCACGAUGGGAACUCCCUGGAGGCUUCAUUCUGAUUUCUAAUCCUAAUUCUUUAAUUCUGGGCUGCAUUUGGAAGGACCGAAUUUUCAGAUUAUCUACAUAUUUUGAAACAUGUCAACUUGAUAAACAUGGCUUAAAUAACAUAAUAUAAAUAAAUAUAAUUUAAAAUGAACAAAUAAAUUUCCCCCAAACCUAUGGUAAUUAUACUACUCUGGCUCUUGCUCCCUGAAAUACAAGAAACAAAUCCAAUUUUAGAGGAUCAGGAACAAAUGUAUACAACAACUAAUAGAUACUAUUUAUUAGUCGAGUAUAAGAGAAAAUUAUACAUAUGACAAUAAUACAAAUCAUAGCUUAUUGGACAACAUGGAGGAAGGAAAAUCUAGAGUUAGUGCUCACUUUAUAAGAAUUUUAGAAAAACUCAAGUUUCCAAAUUUAGAGAUAAAUUAGAGAGAGAUAAUUUGGAUGACAAAAUAUUAUAACAUGUGAUGUAGAAUAUGUGAUACGUGUAAUACGUAACAUGUGCUUUAUGACAGAACUUAGCAGAGUUCUUUACAACACUAAACCACCUAAAUGAAGUAAAAUAUGAUUUCAAUUUCUAUAUGUCACUAUGUAUUUCUUCAGCAUUACAACAAUGGUUUAAAUAACAUAAUACACCUAAGUCAUUAUAUAAACUAUGGAUAGAACCCCUUGAAUAUCAGAUUCACAAUAAAAAUUCAAAUUUAUCCUUAAAUUACAUCAACUUUCAGUCAUACUGUGUUAUCUGCUUUCAGAAAAGAGACAUCUGAUUUUUUCCUCUCAGGUUGUAUAAUUCUUUUAAUUUUUUGGUUGCGCCCAUGGCCUACAAAAUUUCCAGGCCAGGGAUAGAACCUGUGCCACAGUUGUAACCAGAGUCAUAGCAGUGACAGUGCUGAAUCCUUAACCAAUUGAGCCAUGAGGGAACUCCUCAUAAUUUUUUAUAAUAGGUGAAAAAUAUGCACACACACAUGAUUUUGUUUUGUUUUGUUUCCAUUCAAGUUGAUGACUAAGUUUGCUAGAAGAUUAUCUUUUAGAGUAGAGAAAACAAGAUAACAAAAACAUCUAGAGACACAUAACUUACAGAAAUAGAAUUUAUGACAGUACAUUUUAACUUUAUAUGUAUGGGUGCUUGUGUACAUAAAUGCCUAGGUUCUGAACUGGUUAUAAUAUACUGAAGUCACUUUUGCUACAUUUUUUGAUUAUUUAUAUAAACAAAAACACCCUGAAAAAACAAAUCUUACUCACAGAAAAUACCAAUAUAUCGUUUAGAGCUGCAUCCUAAUGCAUUUAUUAAAAGAAAUGUUCAGGAGUUCCCGUCGUGGUGCAAGUGUUUUCUUUUGCCAUUCCAGGACUUCCCCCUCCUAAGAGCUAACAUUUAUUGUGCUCUUACUAUGUUGAGCCAGGACUCAGCUAAACCUAUUAACCCUCACAACAACCCCUUGUGAGACAGCCUAUUUUAUUCCUAUGAUACAGGUGAGAAAACUACUAGUAUACAGAAAGUAACUUUGUCAGGGCAAUAUUUGAGAGUUAAAGCUGGGAUUUCAUCACAGACUCCCCCGGACUUCAGAGCCCACACACCACUCAAUGUACCAUUUCUGCAGCCCAAUGACUGGCUUAAAGCACAAGGAAAUUUAGGCUUCGGGAAGUCUGGGUUCUCAUUCCUGCUUGUUUUUAUCAAGAUGGGAGAACCUUGCCUCUGUCACUAAGACUCAGUUUCCUCACCUAUAGAAAGGGGGGAGUUUAAUUCUUAUGUUUACUAUGGCCCCUUAUGACUCAUAUCUUGUCCAUUCCAUCAACUGCAUGAUACAUGGCAAUUGUAUCAAAUUCAGCUAAGAAAGGGAAGCAUUGCGUAUUCCUGAGAGCCAAAAAUCCAUUUGCAAAAAGGUAAAAAACAAAGAGCCAGCUCUAGAGAAGUGACAAAGGAGGUACAGAGCUGCCCACCACCUACUAAGAACCCAAAUGACCGUUCCUAUGCAUCUGUGUUGACUGAAUUUAUUUUCACUUUUGAAAACAGCUCAUUAUGGAAGCAGUUUAUAAAACUGCUGUUCAUCCUUUGUUUGGCCCUCUUGUGUUUUUUCCUUUAAUUCUUCUGCCAGUUAGAUAAACAAAGUUACUUUCCAGAGCUGCUCAAGCACAUCCUUCAGGUGUCUGAACAAGCAGAGGGAAGCCACUUUGUAGCUCAUUCUCUGAAGGUGAGCCCUCCUCCUCCCCAGCAGCCAAGGAAGAUACUAAACACACUGUAUCUCAGGGGAUGCAUUUGGGGGAAAUAUGAUUCCAAGAGAAAGCAGCCUUUGUUACACGGUAUGUUUCUUUCCAAUCACUCUAGGAUGAGAUCAGGAUUAUAAAUACUACACAAGCAACCCUCAGAAGGAGUGAGAGAGAGAGAGAGAGAGAGAGAGAGAGAGAGUGUGUGUGUGUGUGUGUGUGUGUGUGUGAAAAUUAAGCAUGUGUAGAAAAGGUUCUUUCUGCAAUGGAAAUCUCUUAUUUUUGCUAUUAAUUAAAGGUGAGGAGCCCUGCUUUCCAAACCACGACCUUGUUUUCAGGUCUGCUCCUACAUAGUCAACGUAACUCUCUUAGGUCUCAUCCCUCUGGAUCUCUGUUUCAUUAUCUACAAAAGGCGUAGCUAGACAAAAACGAUUUCUGAAGACCCUUGUAGUUCUAACAUCCAAUAAUUCUGAAUUUCGCUAAGGCCCCAUAAUUUAAAUUUAUGCUGCUAUCCCAGAUAUUGCCACAAACGUCUCUUUGGCUAAGGCAGUUUCAUAUAGCUCAGAAUUUCAUGCUCAAUGAAAAACAUAUGUGAAAACAACAACAACAACCCUUUAUUCCUUCCAAUUGAGUUUAAGGAUGAGAAACUCGAGCGUAGAUGGUUCUCUUGGGUAAUCUGCAGUAUGCCCACAUUGCCCUGCUUUGGAAUCCUCUCUUGGGUUAGAACCAGACCGGUUUUGAGAAGAAGUCAAUUGCCUGCCUACAUUUCAUCUGAGUUUGAUUUGAAUGAGAAAAUUGCAAAUAAAACCCAGAAAGAAUUUUUUUGUUAGAAGGCAACAAAUUACUAUAACUAAAAGGUUGUUUGGUCUCUGAAUCAACUUUAUUUCUUGUCUUUUUGCUCUUUUGAAAAUAAAAAAUCUCAUUUCCAGCUCAUAAAGUAGCAUUAGUUCUUAUUAUUCCAUACAUUAGAAGUCAACUGGUAAUUCAUACAAAUUAAAUUAGUGAUUUUGCAUUUAAUUUACUGAUGACAAACUAUAGGAUUCAGCAGUUUUGCUCUGAUAACCUUUAAAAUGUAUUAAUUUCAUCAGUGAUUUACACUGGGCUUUAUUUCCCACUGCUACAGCUUCAUUCUCCAAAGCAGAAAUGCCCCAUGGUUUUUCAAUUUGUUACCUAAUCAGUACAAUAUAUUCCUGCUUUUCUUGCUUUUAUAUUGUCUCCUAAAUUUGAGACUUCAAUAUUUGAAGAAAUUGCACCAAGAAAUCUCACAUGGCUUUUCUAUUUCUAUGAACCUUUAAGGGAAUAAACAGAGAAAAAUGGAUCCUUUGAACUAGGGGUGCUGCUUGCAAACACAGGAGUCUUAAGAUGAUCACAUUCAAAUGAAGUUUUUUUUUUUUUUCUAAAUCAUGAAAUGUGGACAUUUCAGAAAAUAUUUUCACAAAUCCACCUAAAGCUCCUAAUAUCAAUAUAUCAAAAUCUCUGGGAGUUAGACCAAUGACGCUUAUUGGAGUCCUGACAAGAAGUUUCCUGAGGUGAUUCAGAUGAGACAAAAGCUGCUCUCUGCUCCCUAAAGGACCUGUUCUGGCUCGGGACUGAGGCCGUAAAUUCCUUUCCCACUUCCAUUUCCAGGCCAGAGGACCCCAGAUACAAUGGGGGUAAUUCCAGAAUUCAGAAAACCUGGGGCUACAGAGAACUCCAGUUUCUUUAAACUAUUACAACCAUAUACUUUAUGUCUAGUUAAAUCUAUGGGGGAAAAAAAUGACCCUCCUUCAAAAUUGAAGAUGGGUUGGCUAAAGGCAGUGAAAUCCAACUAUAAAUUCAAAGUGCAAAUACGGCAUUUUUCCAAAUUCAAUACAACAAACAUACUUAUCUUACAGAAGAGAAAGAUGGCAAAGGGGAUCCAGGAACUACCAAAGCACCCAACACGCAUGCCUGGUGCUCCCUGCUGAGGUGUGGGACAUUUGGCUGGACUAAGGGGACUGGCAUGGGGCACAGAGAUUGGGAAGACAUGAAAGGGCACGGGAAGCUACGCUGAGAAAGUGGGAGGAGGUUUGGCCAUUUGAAUAGAGCUAUCCACGGACUAACAGACUUAGCGAGUUCAAUAAAAAAGAACCCUGCAGGGGAAUCCUUUGAGGGCUGCUCUAGGGGAACUUGUUUUGAAUGCAAAACUGAAGGCCAAAUACGAUCCCAUGAUCUACAGGACGGAAAUGGUACUCCAGCGCUGCAGUCUAAGUCACUUUAUCCUUUUGACCGCAUUGUCUUUUUAGGUCUACUCUUUGUCAUGUUUGAGCUCUUCUGACAUUGAAUCUGUGACGUAAAAAAUAAAUGACGCACCACACAUUUUAUCCGUAAAAAAUAAGACAUAACAGAAAACUACAAAAUAUUACCUCUAUAUUAUAAAUGUGUCUUUCAUCUAUACAUGUUCCUUAUCAAAGAGAGCUUCUUAGAAAGGUUUGUGUUUUCUUUUACACUGUUUGAUAAAGAAUUCUGUAGUUUUUCCUCUUAAAAGUUUAUUUUGAAAAAGACUCAGGCUUUAUUUGUUUGCUGAUGUUGUGUGACCUUAAAGGCAAACUUGGCUUACUAAAACUUUUUUGUUUUGUUUUGUCUUUUUUAAGGCCACACCUGCGGCAUAUGGAAGUUCCCAGGCGAGCGGUCAAACUGGAGCCUUAGCCACCGGCCUACACCACAACAGCCACAGCAACACAACACAGCAUCUGAGCACCAUCUAUGACCUAUGCCACGGCUUGUGGCAAUGCUGUAUCCUGAACCCGCCGAGCGAGCCAGGGAUUGAACCUGCAACCAUCUUCAUGGAUGCUAGUCAAGUUCUUAAUCUGAGCUCUGAUGGGAACUUCUAAAGCUUCUUUUUAAUAGUCAUGUUUUCUGGAUUGGUUGCUAUUCUGAAUGAAUAUUAGAAACCAUGCUGUUUCAUUUUUCCCUUUCCAAAUAAUAAUAACAAUCUCUUGAUUGGUAC
RNAcentral lists this long non-coding RNA (5444 nucleotides) under Sus scrofa (pig). RNAcentral's name for it is "lncRNA (ENSSSCG00035008831.1)". Lineage: Eukaryota; Metazoa; Chordata; Mammalia; Artiodactyla; Suidae. The record is from RNAcentral.